RNAcentral lists this ribosomal RNA (468 nucleotides) under uncultured bacterium. Its description in RNAcentral is "partial 16S ribosomal RNA". It matches the Rfam family "Bacterial small subunit ribosomal RNA", at positions 28 to 507 of the family's 1533-position model. The record is from RNAcentral.
GACGAACGCUGGCGGCGUGCUUAACACAUGCAAGUCGAACGGAAAGGCCCUGCUUUUGUGGGGUUCUCGAGUGGCGAACGGGUGAGUAACACGUGAGUAACCUGCCCUUGACUUUGGGAUAACUUCAGGAAACUGGGGCUAAUACCGGAUAGGAUCUCCUGCUGCAUGGUGGGGGUUGGAAAUUUUCGGCGGUUGGGGAUGGACUCGCGGCUUAUCAGCUUGUUGGUGGGGUAGUGGCUUACCAAGGCUUUGACGGGUAGCCGGCCUGAGAGGGUGACCGGCCACAUUGGGACUGAGAUACGGACCAGACUCCUACGGGAGGCAGCAGGGGGGAAUAUUGCACAAUGGGCGGAAGCCUGAUGCAGCAACGCCGCGUGCGGGAUGACGGCCUUCGGGUUGUAAACCGCUUUCGCCUGUGACGAAGCGUGAGUGACGGUAAUGGGUAAAGAAGCACCGGCUAACUACGUG